RNAcentral lists this ribosomal RNA (438 nucleotides) under Carnobacterium gallinarum. Its description in RNAcentral is "bacterial SSU rRNA". It matches the Rfam family "Bacterial small subunit ribosomal RNA", at positions 21 to 443 of the family's 1533-position model. Lineage: Bacteria; Bacillati; Bacillota; Bacilli; Lactobacillales; Carnobacteriaceae. The record is from RNAcentral.
GGCUCAGGACGAACGCUGGCGGCGUGCCUAAUACAUGCAAGUCGAACGCACGAAGUUGAAGAGCUUGCUCUUUGACCAAGUGAGUGGCGGACGGGUGAGUAACACGUGGGUAACCUGCCCAUUAGAGGGGGAUAACAUUCGGAAACGGAUGCUAAUACCGCAUAGUUUCAGGAAUCGCAUGAUUCUUGAAGGAAAGGUGGCUUCGGCUACCACUAAUGGAUGGACCCGCGGCGUAUUAGCUAGUUGGUGAGGUAAUGGCUCACCAAGGCAAUGAUACGUAGCCGACCUGAGAGGGUGAUCGGCCACACUGGGACUGAGACACGGCCCAGACUCCUACGGGAGGCAGCAGUAGGGAAUCUUCCGCAAUGGACGAAAGUCUGACGGAGCAACGCCGCGUGAGUGAAGAAGGUUUUCGGAUCGUAAAACUCUGUUGUUAAA